ACGUUAGCGGCGGACGGGUGAGUAACACGUGGGUAACCUACCUAUAAGACUGGGAUAACUUCGGGAAACCGGAGCUAAUACCGGAUAAUAUUUCUAACCGCAUGGUUCGAUAGUGAAAGGUGGUUCUGCUAUCACUUAUAGAUGGACCCGCGCCGUAUUAGCUAGUUGGUAAGGUAACGGCUUACCAAGGCGACGAUACGUAGCCGACCUGAGAGGGUGAUCGGCCACACUGGAACUGAGACACGGUCCAGACUCCUACGGGAGGCAGCAGUC
RNAcentral lists this ribosomal RNA (273 nucleotides) under uncultured Staphylococcus sp. RNAcentral describes it as "partial 16S ribosomal RNA". It matches the Rfam family "Bacterial small subunit ribosomal RNA", at positions 89 to 355 of the family's 1533-position model. Lineage: Bacteria; Bacillati; Bacillota; Bacilli; Caryophanales; Staphylococcaceae. The record is from RNAcentral.